Molecule: long non-coding RNA, 1101 nt
Organism: Dreissena polymorpha
Lineage: Eukaryota; Metazoa; Mollusca; Bivalvia; Myida; Dreissenidae
Exons: 2
Source: RefSeq, a predicted model, not a curated record
AUGUGUGGGACAAUCGGAUGUAAACAAAACGUCGCUUCAGACUUGAAAAGGAUUAGUCGAAAGAUCUGUAACGCUUUUAAGGUUCGAAGCUGUGUAAGAACUACAUGAACACCAUCAAACCACACGGAAGGUGAUAUGUGGCAAGUUAAUUAUCAAAACUACAGUGACAGAAAAAGGGACCCCGCUUCAUUCUGUGAUGUUUAUGGAAAGCUAAUUCAAUUAACUAUGCAAACAUACCAUUUAACAUGUAUUUUUGCAUAAGCAAAACAAAGCGUGUGUAUUGAUAUGUGUGUAUAUUUAUGGGUUUUGUAUCUAUGUUAUUACUAAAAUUGAUUAGAUGAAUAGAAAAUCUGAUUAUGUGUGUUAAUAAAACAGGUGUUUCAUAACAAAUAACAAUUUAAAUCCAAUGAAGCUUGUUUGUGGUCUAUUCCAAUAUCAUCUCCAUAUGAACAUCUUCGAAGCCAAUAAUGCUUGUUUGUGGUCUAUUCCAAUAUUAUCUCCAUAUGAAUAUCUUCAGUAUAUGAAAAUAAACACGUCAUUAAUAAUAACAUUACUUUAUAACUAGCAUGCACAUGUAGCAAUAUAAAUUAAAGCACCAAGUACAUAAAGAAGUACAUUAGUAUUCACAAAGAAAUUGUAAUCAGUCAAUUUAUGAAUUUGCAAAUCUUGCUAUUCAAACAUAUGAAUGCUCCAAUUAAGUCAUAACAAAUGAUCAUCGCCAAAACGUCUUGACUUGUGGGGGUUAUUAUACCAACAAACAUAUUGAAUUGCAUCAAUACUUCAUUUACUCAAAUUCAAAUGAAAUCUGAAUAACUGAGAAUAGUUUGAGAUGUUUAAUGAAAAUACUCAUUCGCCCCGGUCACGAAAGGGCGCUGCAAGAUCUUGUUUCCACUGCACCAAGUAAUUAACAUUAAAUCAUAUAAUGUUGUUCAAUUUGUUGAAAAGUCAAAUUUGUAUGUAAUGUUUACUUUGAUUGUUUUCUUUCCCUGCAAUACUUGCACCAUCUGGUAAUAAAACAGUCAUUUAAACUUUGGAACAUUUACUAUACAUGUUUGUAUAUGACAACUUUUCAUUGAUCAAGAUAUCAGUACGUCUCUUGAA